GACGAACGCUGGCGGCGUGCUUAACACAUGCAAGUCGAACGGAAAGGCCCUGCUUUUGUGGGGUGCUCGAGUGGCGAACGGGUGAGUAACACGUGAGUAACCUGCCCUUGACUUUGGGAUAACUUCAGGAAACUGGGGAUAAUACCGGAUAGGAGCUCCUGCUGCAUGGUGGGGGUUGGAAAGUUUCGGCGGUUGGGGAUGGUAUCGCGGCUUAUCAGCUUGUUGGGGGGGGGGUGGCUUACCAAGGCUUUGACGGGUAGCCGGCCUGGGAGGGUGACCGGCCACAUUGGGCUUGGGGUACGGCCCAGACGCCAUCGGGGGGCAUGGGUGGGGACUUUAGCACAAUGGGCGGAGGCCGGAUGCAGCACCUCCGGGUUCGGGAGGACGGCCUUCGGGUAGUAAACCGCUUUCGCCUGUGACGAGGCGGGAGGGCGGUAACUGGGGAAAGAAGCACCGGCUACUUCCUU
Molecule: ribosomal RNA, 467 nt
Filed under: uncultured bacterium
Lineage: Bacteria
Description: partial 16S ribosomal RNA
Rfam family: Bacterial small subunit ribosomal RNA
Source: RNAcentral